Molecule: ribosomal RNA, 852 nt
Filed under: uncultured methanogenic archaeon
Lineage: Archaea; Methanobacteriati; Methanobacteriota
Description: partial 16S ribosomal RNA
Rfam family: Archaeal small subunit ribosomal RNA
Source: RNAcentral
AUUGCUCAGUAACACGUGGAUAACCUACUCUUGGGACUGGGAUAACCUUGGGAAACUGAGGAUAAUACUGGAUAGGCAAUUAUUCCUGCAAUGGUUUUUUGUUUAAAUGUUUUUUCGCCUAAGGAUGGGUCUGCGGCCGAUUAGGUAGUUGGUUAGGUAAUGGCUUACCAAGCCGUUGAUCGGUACGGGUUGUGAGAGCAAGAGCCCGGAGAUGGAACCUGAGACAAGGUUCCAGGCCCUACGGGGUGCAGCAGGCGCGAAACCUCCGCAAUGUGAGAAAUCGCGACGGGGGGAUCCCAAGUGCCAUUCUUAACGGGAUGGCUUUUCAUUAGUGUAAAGAGCUUUUGGAAUAAGGGCUGGGCAAGACCGGUGCCAGCCGCCGCGGUAACACCAGCAGCUCUAGUGGUAGCAGUUUUUAUUGGGCCUAAAGCGUCCGUAGCCGGUUUAAUAAGUCUCUGGUGAAAUCCUGUAGCUUAACUGUGGGAAUUGCUGGAGAUACUAUUAGACUUGAGACCGGGAGAGGUUAGAGGUACUCCCAGGGUAGAGGUGAAAUUCUGUAAUCCUGGGAGGACCGCCUGUUGCGAAGGCGUCUAACUGGAACGGUUCUGACGGUGAGGGACGAAAGUUAGGGGCGCGAACCGGAUUAGAUACCCGGGUAGUCCUAACCGUAAACGAUGCGGACUUGGUGUUGGGGUGGCUUUGAGCUGCUCCAGUGCCGAACGGAAGCUGUUAAGUCCGCCGCCUGGGAAGUACGGUCGCAAGACUGAAACUUAAAGGAAUUGGCGGGGNNNNCNCNNNNNNNNNNNNNNAUUUAAUUGGAUUCAACGCCGGACAUCUCACCAGGGAGCGACA